ACUACAUCUUCUGUGAAAAUGAUAAUGCUAGUAAGCACUGCCUUUAGAUCCAGGCAAGAGAUCCCUUUCAAGGGAUAAGCUCAUACCCUCCCUUCUAGAACAUUUUCCAGUACCCAGGACUUCUUCCUGGCGUCCCAGGUGUAUCUUCCCUGGGUGGACCAUGUUGCCAGUCCAUGGAAUGGCCAGGGGCAGCCACUCGCAGAGUCUGCUGGGAUGCAGAACUGGGUGUCCACACACCUGUACGAGAGAGGUUUCAUGGCCCCAGAGCCUUUCUUCUCCCCUGGGAAGAAAAGAGGGCUGGGCUGCAGACCGGGCACCAGGGACCGCCUCCCGGUGCCACCACAUUCUAGUAUGGAGUUUCAAAGAGGCCAAGAAUUCUACAUUUGAACUGGACUUUCCAGCCUCUGUUGCUCUGAGAGAGGCAAUGAGAUCAUUGGGCAGCAGUUGCCUGGGGCUUGGCUUGGAGUGGGAGGGGCGGGAGAGGUCUCCUAGCAGGAGGAAUGCGGGCUGCCAGUAGAUCUUCCUCCAGGUCCCACACAUGUUGGAGGCAGCUUGGGUAUGUCCCGGCUGGCUCAGUCCCUGAAUGCUGUGUUUAACCCUCAUCUUGUUAUGGCUAAAACCCAUCUGGAGCCAAGAAACGAGUCUCCAAAGAAAUGAAAUGCCUAGCUUAAAAGGAAAACCAUGGGGAAGUUCUGAAUAAGUAACUUAUGAAAAACAAAGUGGAAAUUACAGGUCUCUGUGAUGAAUUCAAAGAUUGUUCCAAGGUGGAGAGUAAUGUUAAAUGAGGGCGUUUAAGGCAAAGAAGGGGGGGGGGGGGUGGCAGGUAGGAGAGAAAGGCAACUGACACUGAACUGAGAACGUACCAAGACUCCGUCUCAAACAAAUGUGCGUUAUGUGUAGUAAGUGUUCUGUAUGCUGCUAUAGUGAUUUAAAAUGCACACAACUUCAUCCUUUUAGGCACCACCCAUUAAAAUGUGGGCAGGUACACACAGUUAGCCUGGACUGUCACUCUCUUCUACACACUUAAAAGAUUUACUAAGAAAACUCAGAGAACAAACAAGAGUACAAGGGGAAUGUUAGGCUUAAUUAAGCAAUCAGCUCUUUAAAGGACUUCAGCACAAUAAUUGUUGGUAUGUGAAUGUGCCAUGAAUUAUAAAUGAGUCAUCUGUUCUUUGAAGAAGACAGAACAGGAUCUCUUCUUGGAAGGACUUGGGGAGCACUCUGAGUUGUUGAAAGGUAGCAAAUUGCAUUUCGUGCUCAUCAGGCAAUAAUUACAGUGUCCUUUUAAGCCUAAAAACAACAGGGAACAUCUGUUAGGUGUUUAUUACAUGUGGGCCCUUGGUCGAGUGCCUUCCAGACGUUUGGCCCUCACCAUAGGCCUAUGGAGUACCGGAUACUAGUACUGCAGCCAUUUCACAGAUGAAGAAACUGAGGCCCUUGGCACCUUGCCCAAAUUACCCAGCUACAGGCGCAAUGUGCUCUGUGCCCUUAAAAGUUCACUGUCUAGUAUUUAAGGUUGUACAUUUUCUAAUUUUAUUACGUUCAGGCCAGCUUCAUCUCCCAGCUGAUCCAAAUUCGGCAAGCUUCACUAAAAUAGUAUCAAGUAUUUUUCUAGCCAAUGAACUAUUGUCAUGUAUUAUAAUAGGAAUGAGGGGGAAACUCACUGUCUUACGGAACACCCAAUCCACACUUGGGAAUCGACUGCCCAAAGAGAAUGCUUGUUUCCAGAUUGUAGUGUAGUAUUUAUUAUGCCUGAACAAUGACCGGAACAGUGAUGAUUUUGUAACAAAACCUCAGGGAAGCUAUUAACAAGUUGGCAUUUCUAAUUUGUGUGGAAAUGCUCAUUUUAUUUAUCAGAAAAUUAUAGCAAUGGUGUUCACUUAAUUAAGAAUUGAUACUGUGGAGAGGAAUUUUGUGUGUGUGUGUGAAAUUCAUAAUAUUGCAGACGAACAUGAACGGGAACGCAAAAGAAAAUUGGUUAAAUAUCUAAAUGUCAGCUUAUUUUCCUUUGAACUUCUCAUUUUACGUGGUUUGAGAGCUGCUUAACAAAGGAAUUGUAUAAAUGCAUUGUAUCACUUUACAAGAUGUUUUUUAGGACAAAUUCAUGUAAGUAGGAACUGCACUAGGUUUGUAAAUAGCCCCAAAGAAAAAGACUUCCAACUUUUGACAACUAAGGAAACUACCCGUGUAUUACAAGGCAGGUUAAGAUCUAAUAGCUUUUUCAACUGCCAAUAAAGCGUGGGCACGGCUUUACCUGUGUGAUAGGUAUUAUAAAACCAAAAGAAUGAGAGUGGUUUGAAUGAGAAGGGAUCUGAGAAAGGCAGAGAAUUUGAGGAAAUCUGGAAACUUGAAGGAGACAAAGAAAAUGGGAAGCGGGGCAGAGGAGAACGCCUGCCUUUGGUGGCUGACUCCCACACUGUCACCAGGAAACGAUGCUCAUGUGCUGGGAGCUCUGGUUAUCUGCUGGCUCCAAGUGCCCACAGGCGGGUGUGCCACUGCAUGGCCCAGACGCCCCAACCCACCUCACUUCAAGGUCUGGAUUCAUUUGUUCACAGUAAGCAUUUGUUUUACAGGAAUUUUGUACCAGGUGCUGGGCUGGGUCAGGGGACACACCCAUGAACAAGGAUUGCAGGUCCUUGGCCUCUUGGAGCUGACAUUCUGGUCAGAGGGACCAGUCUGCAAACAAGGAGCCCUUCCGAAAUGAGGAUUCACUUAAGCUCCCUCCCUGAUUCCUCUACUCCGUGCAGGCCAUGUCCUACCCCAGCUUUAAAGCCGUCAUACCUGUACCUCAGAGAGAAAAAAGAGACUUGGGACAGCACCUGGCACAUGGAAGCAUUUGAUAAAUAUUUGCUGAAUUGAACAAAAUUAACUAAGAAGAUUCAAACAGAGAGAGUUCAGCACUGCAACCUGUCAGCUCUGGCCUUGGGCGAGUCAUAAAACCUCUGAGCCUCAGCUUUCUUGCCUGUAAAUGAGAGAAGUAAAACCUAACUUUAAACGUUUUAAA
Molecule: long non-coding RNA, 3004 nt
Organism: Neofelis nebulosa (Clouded leopard)
Lineage: Eukaryota; Metazoa; Chordata; Mammalia; Carnivora; Felidae
Exons: 3
Source: RefSeq, a predicted model, not a curated record